CGUGUAGGCGGCCGGUCAAGUCAGAUGUGAAAUCCCGGGGCUCAACCUCGGAAGGGCAUUUGAAACUGGUCGGCUUGAGUUCGGGAGAGGGAAGUGGAAUUCCGGGUGUAGAGGUGAAAUUCGUAGAUAUCCGGAGGAACACCGGUGGCGAAGGCGACUUCCUGGACCGAAACCGACGCUGAGACGCGAAAGCGUGGGGAGCAAACA
RNAcentral lists this ribosomal RNA (207 nucleotides) under uncultured bacterium. RNAcentral's name for it is "partial 16S ribosomal RNA". It matches the Rfam family "Bacterial small subunit ribosomal RNA", at positions 568 to 774 of the family's 1533-position model. The record is from RNAcentral.